UACGUAGGGGGCGAGCGUUGUCCGGAGUUACCGGGCGUAAAGCGCACGCAGGCGGUCUGCUAAGUUUGGAGUGACAGUUGGUGGCUUAACUGCCAAAGUGCUUCGAAAACUGACAGACUUGAGGGCUUCAGAGGGACACGGAAUUCCGGGUGGAGUGGUGAAAUGCGUAGAGAUCCGGAGGAACACCAAAGGCGAAGGCAGUGUCCUGGGGAGUACCUGACGCUCAGGUGCGAAAGCCAGGGGAGCGAACGGG
Molecule: ribosomal RNA, 253 nt
Filed under: uncultured bacterium
Lineage: Bacteria
Description: partial 16S ribosomal RNA
Rfam family: Bacterial small subunit ribosomal RNA
Source: RNAcentral